Molecule: ribosomal RNA, 465 nt
Filed under: Vreelandella stevensii
Lineage: Bacteria; Pseudomonadati; Pseudomonadota; Gammaproteobacteria; Oceanospirillales; Halomonadaceae
Description: partial 16S ribosomal RNA
Rfam family: Bacterial small subunit ribosomal RNA
Source: RNAcentral
CCUACGGGCGGCAGCAGUGGGGAAUAUUGGACAAUGGGGGGAACCCUGAUCCAGCCAUGCCGCGUGUGUGAAGAAGGCCCUCGGGUUGUAAAGCACUUUCAGUGAGGAAGAACGCCUGGUGGUUAAUACCCAUCAGGAAAGACAUCACUCACAGAAGAAGCACCGGCUAACUCCGUGCCAGCAGCCGCGGUAAUACGGAGGGUGCGAGCGUUAAUCGGAAUUACUGGGCGUAAAGCGCGCGUAGGUGGCUUGAUAAGCCGGUUGUGAAAGCCCCGGGCUCAACCUGGGAACGGCAUCCGGAACUGUCAAGCUAGAGUGUAGGAGAGGAAGGUAGAAUUCCCGGUGUAGCGGUGAAAUGCGUAGAGAUCGGGAGGAAUACCAGUGGCGAAGGCGGCCUUCUGGACUGACACUGACACUGAGGUGCGAAAGCGUGGGUAGCAAACAGGAUUAGAUACCCGUGUAGUC